RNAcentral lists this ribosomal RNA (251 nucleotides) under uncultured prokaryote. Its description in RNAcentral is "partial 16S rRNA". It matches the Rfam family "Bacterial small subunit ribosomal RNA", at positions 525 to 775 of the family's 1533-position model. The record is from RNAcentral.
ACGGAGGGUGCGAGCGUUGUUCGGAAUUACUGGGCGUAAAGCGCGUGUAGGCGGUCUUUUAAGUCUGAUGUGAAAGCCCCGGGCUCAACCUGGGAAGUGCAUUGGAAACUGGGAGACUUGAAUACGGGAGAGGGUAGUGGAAUUCCUAGUGUAGGGGUGAAAUCCGUAGAGAUUAGGAGGAAUACCGGUGGCGUAGGCGGCCAUCUGGACGGUAACUGACGCUGAGACGCGAAAGCGUGGGGAGCAAACAG